This is a long non-coding RNA of Apis mellifera (honey bee), 804 nucleotides long. RefSeq lists it as uncharacterized. Lineage: Eukaryota; Metazoa; Arthropoda; Insecta; Hymenoptera; Apidae. The transcript is spliced from 3 exons. The record is from RefSeq and is a predicted model, not a curated record.
UUCAUAUAUAGCGAACAAGCAGUCUGCUUUGUACUGUGGUGUAAGCAUGUGUGAUUUUAUAUAGUAGUUUUCAUGAUGGAGAGCUGUUUUCGAACACUUCGGCCAAAUUCUGUUUAAAUCAUUGAACCAAAGGAAAAGAUGGGGAGAUAUAUCAGCGGCGCGAGAACCUGCAGAAGUACCUCUAAUUAUAUUCCAAUACAUUAUAAGAUUUCGUCUAUUGAAGAAAUCAACGAUUCACAAUUUAUUACAACAUAAUGCAAGCAUGUGAAUUAUAGAAUUAACAGAAGAGAUAAUUCCAUUUUUCUUAUUAUAUUUUCAUUAUGUGAAAAUAUAAUAAUUUUUAUCUUUACUGUCAUUAAUACCCCAUCGUUUUUGAUUCCGAUUCUGAAGAAUGGAAAGUAGGGACAACCAGAACGACUAUCAAAAGUAAUAUUAAUGAAGCAACAAUAAUGUACAUUUAGAUUUGAUCAUGGGAUAUGUAAUUGUACAAAUUCGACUAUUUACGCAUUCAAGAAAAUAAGAAAAUCUCAUGCGGACAAAUACGAUAAUAUUCACAAUAUUACAAUUCAAAUAAAGAUUGUUUUCAAAUAUAAUCUAACAAAAUACAUAUAUUCAGAAAAUUGCAUAUGAUAUAUAAUAUUAUAUUUGAAAGUAUCAUGUUUGUAUAUCAGUUUCCUAUAUAAGCAUGAUUUCGUUAAUUUGCUGUUUCAGAAUAAUUAAAAAUAAAAUUCAUAUUUCCAUUUUCUGUUGAAUUCCGCUACCCCUUCUGUUACAAAUCUGGAGAAUAUAUCUAUUGUAAAUUCA